This 28-nucleotide non-coding RNA is filed under the name Mus musculus (house mouse). Lineage: Eukaryota; Metazoa; Chordata; Mammalia; Rodentia; Muridae. The record is from RNAcentral.
UGCAACGGCCUUUCUCUUCUUCCAGGCU